This 484-nucleotide ribosomal RNA is filed under the name uncultured bacterium. Its description in RNAcentral is "partial 16S ribosomal RNA". It matches the Rfam family "Bacterial small subunit ribosomal RNA", at positions 29 to 523 of the family's 1533-position model. The record is from RNAcentral.
AGUGAACGCUGGCGGCGUGCUUAACACAUGCAAGUCGAACGAGAACGGAUUAUAGCUUGCUAUAAUUGUCAGCUAAGUGGCGCACGGGUGAGUAAUGUAUAGGUAAUAUGCCUCUUACUAAGGGAUAACAAAUGGAAACGUUUGCUAAUACCUUAUACUCCUUAUUAACAGAAGUUAAUAAGGGAAAGAUUUAUUGGUAAGAGAUUAGCCUGUAUUGUAUCAGUUAGUUGGUGGGGUAAUGGCUUACCAAGACUAUGACACAUAGCUGGUUUGAGAGGAUGAUCAGUCACACUGGAACUGAGACACGGUCCAGACUCCUACGGGAGGCAGCAGUGGGGAAUAUUGCACUAUGGACGAAAGUCUGAUGCGGCAACGCCGCGUGGAGGAUGACACAUUUCGGUGCGUAAACUCCUUUUAUAUGAGAAGAUAAUGACGGUAUUAUAUGAAUAAGCACCGGCUAACUCCGUGCCAGCAGCCGCGGUAA